UACAGAGGGGGCAAGCGUUGUUCGGAAUUACUGGGCGUAAAGGGCGCGUAGGCGGCCUUCUAAGUCGAACGUGAAAUCCCUGGGCUCAACCCAGGAACUGCGUCCGAUACUGGAAGGCUUGAAUCCGGGAGAGGGAUGCGGAAUUCCUGGCGUAGCGGUGAAAUGCGCAGAUAUCAGGAGGAACACCGGUGGCGAAGGCGGAUCUCUGGGCCAUUACUGACGCUGAGGAGCGAAAGCGUGGGGAGCGAACAGG
Molecule: ribosomal RNA, 253 nt
Filed under: uncultured bacterium
Lineage: Bacteria
Description: partial 16S ribosomal RNA
Rfam family: Bacterial small subunit ribosomal RNA
Source: RNAcentral